RNAcentral lists this ribosomal RNA (501 nucleotides) under uncultured bacterium. RNAcentral's name for it is "partial 16S ribosomal RNA". It matches the Rfam family "Bacterial small subunit ribosomal RNA", at positions 30 to 523 of the family's 1533-position model. The record is from RNAcentral.
AUUGAACGCUGGCGGCAGGCUUAACACAUGCAAGUCGAGCGGGGAAAUAUAGCUUGCUAUAUGACCUAGCGGCGGACGGGUGAGUAAUGCUUAGGAAUCUGCCUAUUAGUGGGGGACAACAUUUCGAAAGGGAUGCUAAUACCGCAUACGCCCUACGGGGGAAAGCAGGGGAUCAUUUGACCUUGCGCUAAUAGAUGAGCCUAAGUCGGAUUAGAUAGUUGGUGGGGUAAAGGCCUACCCAGGCGACGAUCUGUAGCGGGUCUGAGAGGAUGACCCGCCACACUGGGACUGAGACAGGGCCCAGACUCUUACGUGAGGCAGCUGUGGGGAAUUUUGGCCAAUGGGGGGAACCCUUAUCCAGCCAUGCCGCGUGUGUGAAGAAGGCCUUUUGGUUGUAAAGCCCCUUAAGCGAGGAGGAGGCUCCUGUAGAUAAUACCUACAGUUUGUGUACGUUACUCGCAGAAUAAGCACCGGCUAACUCUGUGCCAGCAGCCGCCGUAA